CCCGCUAAAUCCGUGCCAGCAGGCGAGGUAAGAAGGGGGGGUGAAGCGUUAUUCGGAGUUAGUGGGUUUAAAGGGUCCGUAGGCGGACUUGUAAGGCAGUGGUGAAAUCUCAUAGCUUAACUAUGAAACUGCCAUUGAUACUGCAGGUCUUGAGUAAAUUUGAAGUGGCUGGAAUAAGUAGUGUAGCGGUGAAAUGCAUAGAUAUUACUUAACACCAAUUGCGAAGGCAGGUCACUAAGAUUUAACUGACGCUGAUGGACGAAAGCGUGGGUAGCGAACAGGAUUAGAUACCCGUGUAGUC
Molecule: ribosomal RNA, 301 nt
Filed under: uncultured bacterium
Lineage: Bacteria
Description: bacterial SSU rRNA
Rfam family: Bacterial small subunit ribosomal RNA
Source: RNAcentral